UACGAAGGGGGCUAGCGUUGUUCGGAAUUACUGGGCGUAAAGCGCACGUAGGCGGUUAUUCAAGUCAGAGGUGAAAGCCCGGGGCUCAACUCCGGAACUGCCUUUGAAACUAGAUAGCUUGAAUCCAGGAGAGGUGAGUGGAAUUCCGAGUGUAGAGGUGAAAUUCGUAGAUAUUCGGAAGAACACCAGUGGCGAAGGCGGCUCACUGGACUGGUAUUGACGCUGAGGUGCGAAAGCGUGGGGAGCAAACAGG
This 253-nucleotide ribosomal RNA is filed under the name uncultured bacterium. RNAcentral's name for it is "partial 16S ribosomal RNA". It matches the Rfam family "Bacterial small subunit ribosomal RNA", at positions 524 to 776 of the family's 1533-position model. The record is from RNAcentral.